RNAcentral lists this ribosomal RNA (413 nucleotides) under uncultured bacterium. Its description in RNAcentral is "bacterial SSU rRNA". It matches the Rfam family "Bacterial small subunit ribosomal RNA", at positions 90 to 518 of the family's 1533-position model. The record is from RNAcentral.
UACUAGUGGCGGACGGGUGAGUAACGCGUGGGUAACCUGCCGUAUGCAGGGGGACAACAGUUGGAAACGGCUGCCUAAUACCGCAUAAGCGCACGGUAUUGCAUGAUACAGUGUGAAAAGAUUUAUCGGCAUACGAUGGACCCGCGUUUGAUUAGCUAGUUGGUGAGGUAACGGCUCACCAAGGCGACGAUCAAUAGCCGGCCUGAGAGGGCAAUCGGCCACAUUGGGACUGAGACACGGCCCAAACUCCUACGGGAGGCAGCAGUGGGGAAUAUUGCACAAUGGGGGAAACCCUGAUGCAGCGAACCGCCGCGUGAGUGAAGAAGUAUUUCGGUAUGUAAAGCUCUAUCAGCAGGGAAGAUGAUGACGGUACCUGACUAAGAAGCCCCGGCUAACUACGUGCCAGCCGCUGC